GGCACUGGCACGAUUAGGUCAUAAGCUUGCCAGUAAGGCGUCACAUCUACGGGCCACGCCACACAUCUCAGCCAGUCUGGGCCUCUGGGUUUCCUUUCCUUCCCCCACUGGAUGGCUUCUUAGGAUCCUACAUACUCCAGCGACUCUACAUUCGCCUCCCCUUCAACACACGUGCUUUUGCUGACUUGCUGCUGGGUUCCUUGCAAAACCUAUACCAUGUCCUAAUGGGCAGAGAUGCACAAUCUUGAAGGAAGCCAUGACCUGAUCCGCUGUAUCUGUGUCAGCCGUCUCUCGGGACAUGAAGUCGAUGAAGGCCUGGAACGUCACUACCCCCAAGCGGUUUGGGUCUACAAUGCUCAUGAUCCGGGCAAAUUCUGCCUCUCCCUAGAGGAAACAGCCAACACACACCUGUCACCCUAGUGGCCUACUGGGUGUCUCAGGUGUACGUCCAGCCCUAAGUAGCCUAUGGUUGGAACAGGAGGGCACAACAGACCUCUGAUCUGGCUUGGGUUGCCCCAGGGUAUGAACGUGACUCAAUAGUUGGGAUUUUCAGGAUUUCCAACCCCCCAACCCCCUGCAGUGCCCUUGGUUUCCUUUAUAGGAAAUGAUGGCAGUAUUAAUUAUAAUGACAAUAAAAUGAACAAUGGCUAACACCCAC
Molecule: long non-coding RNA, 658 nt
Filed under: Rattus norvegicus (Norway rat)
Lineage: Eukaryota; Metazoa; Chordata; Mammalia; Rodentia; Muridae
Description: long non-coding RNA NONRATT024481
Source: RNAcentral